AUUGAACGCUGGCGGCAGGCCUAACACAUGCAAGUCGAGCGGAUGACGGGAGCUUGCUCCUUGAUUCAGCGGCGGACGGGUGAGUAAUGCCUAGGAAGCUGCCUGGUAGUGGGGGACAACGUUUCGACAGGAACUCUAAUACCGCAUACGUCCUACGGGAGAAAGCAGGGGACCUUCGGGCCUUGCGCUAUCAGAUGAGCCUAGGUCGGAUUAGCUAGUUGGUGGGGUAAGGGCUCACCAAGGGGACGAUCCGUAACUGGUCUGAGAGGAUGAUCAGUCACACUGGAACUGAGACACGGUCCAGACUCCUACGGGAGGCAGCAGUGGGGAAUAUUGGACAAUGGGCGAAAGCCUGAUCCAGCCAUGCCGCGUGUGUGAAGAAGGUCUUCGGAUUGUAAAGCACUUUAAGUUGGGAGGAAGGGCAGUAAGCUAAUACCUUGCUGUUUUGACGUUACCGACAGAAUAAGCACCGGCUAACUCUGUGCCAGCAGCCGCCGUAA
Molecule: ribosomal RNA, 500 nt
Filed under: uncultured bacterium
Lineage: Bacteria
Description: partial 16S ribosomal RNA
Rfam family: Bacterial small subunit ribosomal RNA
Source: RNAcentral